CAUUGUCUAGGCCUACUAUUCAGCCAUUUAUGAAAUGACUACAGAAGAGGUAUCAUCAAUGAUGAUCAAGCUAAUUGGCUCUAGGGCAAGUGGGAGAUUGUUGGAAAUGUGCCCUAAAACCGAUCAUAUGAUGAUACUUUACGGACAUUUCACAUGUUAAACUAAUCUAGUUUAAUAUCAAGGGCAAAGAUUAUUGUUUGAGCCGUCUCAUAUAAAUGUUAUAUGCUUAAACGAUAAGUCCAAGAAAUAUGUGAUUAGGAGAAUGCAAUCUAAAGAAGUUAGAUUCAUGAAACCAUUCUUUCGUAGACACAUCCUAAACGUUCCUGGUCAUAGGAUUGCCAAUUGGGCAUUGACAAUCCAUUAAGAUCAGUAUGUUCUGUGUCUUCUCUCAGGGAGAGUGACUAGUCUCGAGUCAUUGAUGUGUGUGACAUCAAGACAAGUACGUAGGUGCUCAAUAGAGAAUGAGUCCACUAAACACGAUCAACGAAGAGUUCUCAUAUUCAUGUCACAUGAGAACUCAUGGUUGGGAUAAUGCAAAGUAGUCCUUUGACCUGAGGCAUCACAAUUGUCUUGUGGUUAAGUCCUUGAUCUUUGAUUAUGUCAAAGUCACUCCAUUUGGAGGGUGUCCACGGCAUCGUUGGGGUUAAGCCACUUAGCCAUGGAGACAAGUGAAUGCGCAACAAGAGAUCUCUAACCUUCAAACCGUUUGAGGGAGAAUACUC
Molecule: long non-coding RNA, 722 nt
Filed under: Malus domestica (apple)
Lineage: Eukaryota; Viridiplantae; Streptophyta; Magnoliopsida; Rosales; Rosaceae
Description: long non-coding RNA (MDOM_LNC015466)
Source: RNAcentral